Molecule: ribosomal RNA, 3117 nt
Filed under: Corynebacterium choanae
Lineage: Bacteria; Bacillati; Actinomycetota; Actinomycetes; Mycobacteriales; Corynebacteriaceae
Description: Corynebacterium choanis 23S ribosomal RNA
Rfam family: Bacterial large subunit ribosomal RNA
Source: RNAcentral
UCUGGUUUUUUAGGGCACACGGUGGAUGCCUUGGCAUGCUGAGCCGAUGAAGGACGUGGGAGGCUGCGUUAAGCCUCGGGGAGUUGUCAACCGAGCGUUGAUCCGAGGAUGUCCGAAUGGGGAAACCCGGCCAUGGUUAUGUGUGGUCACCUGCAACUGAAGACUUGUGUAUAGGUUGUGUGGAGGUAACGCGGGGAAGUGAAACAUCUCAGUACCCGUAGGAGAAGAAAACAAGAGUGAUUCCGCUAGUAGUGGCGAGCGAACGUGGAUUUUUGGCUAAACCGUGAUUGUGUGUGAUACCCGGCAGGGGUUGCAUGAUCCGGGGUUGUGGGGUUUAUAACGUCUGUUAUCUGCCGGUGACGGGUCUGUUGUUGGUGCUGUUAGUGGAAGUGGUGUGGAAACGCCUGCCGUAGAGGGUGAGAGUCCCGUACAUGAAAGCAGUUGCCUGAUGGAUGGUUAUUUGUCCCCGAGUAGCAGCGGGCUCGUGGAAUCUGCUGUGAAUCUGCCGGGACCACCCGGUAAGCCUGAAUACUCAGUGUGACCGAUAGCGGAUUGAGUACCGUGAGGGAAUGGUGAAAAGUACCCCGGGAGGGGAGUGAAAGAGUACCUGAAACCGUGUGUCUACAAUCCGUCAGAGCCCUUUUGGGGUGAUGGCGUGCCUUUUGAAGAAUGAGCCUGCGAGUCAGCGGCAUGUCGCGAGGUUAACCCGGUUUGUGGGGUAGUCGUAGCGAAAGCGAAUACUAACGAGUGUGUUGUAGUGGCAUGUCCUGGACCCGAAGCGGAGUGAUCUACCCAUGGCCAGUGUGAAGCAGCGGUAAGACGCUGUGGAGGCGCGAACCCACUUAGGUUGAAAACUGAGGGGAUGAGUUGUGGGUAGGGGUGAAAGGCCAAUCAAACUUCGUGAUAGCUGGUUCUCCCCGAAAUGCAUUUAGGUGCAGCGCUACGCGUGUUUGCCGGAGGUAGAGCUACUGGUUGGUUUAGCGGGACUAUCAUCUUAGCGACAUCAGCUAAACUCCGAAUGCCGGUGAAACGGUUCGUGUAGUAGUGAGACUGCGGGGGAUAAGCUUCGUAGUCGAGAGGGAAACAGCCCAGAUCGCCGGUUAAGGCCCCUAAGAGUGUGCUAAGUGGAAAAGGAUGUGGGAUCGCCCAGACAGCCAGGAGGUUGGCUUAGAAGCAGCCAUCCUUGAAAGAGUGCGUAAUAGCUCACUGGUCGAGUGGUUCCGCGCCGACAAUGUAGUGGGGCUCAAGCACACCGCCGAAACCGCGGCAGCAGCAUCUUAUGUAGGGUGUUGUUGGGUAGGGGAGCGUCGUAUGCUGCGUUGAAGCUGCCGGGUGACCGUGUGGUGGAGUGUAUACGAGUGAGAAUGCAGGCAUGAGUAGCGAAUGACGGGUGGAAAACCCGUCCGCCGGAUGAUCAAGGGUUCCUGGGUGAAGCUUUAAUCUUCCCAGGGUGAGUCGGGACCUAAGGCGAGGCCGACAGGCGUAGUCGAUGGAUAACGGGUUGAUAUUCCCGUACCCGUGUGUAUGCGAAAAGUGGUGACGCGAUGAUACUAACUGCCCGUCGCAUCCUUCACGUCAGUCUUUUUAGGCUGGUGGUUGUGGUGUGUUCGCGUAGGACCUGAGUUGUUGGUAGCCAAGUGAUGGGGUGACGCAGAGUGGUAGCCGAGCCAACGGUUGGAAGUGUUGGUGUAAGCGUGCAGCCCGUGGGAUAGGGAAAUCCGUUCCACAUUAUAUGGGUGAGGCGUGAUGCAGACCCACAUGUUGUGGGGGAGUCGGUGUGCCUGUGCUGUCGAGAAAAGCCUCUAGCGAGUGUAUGCAUGGCCCGUACCCCAAACCGACACAGGUGAUCAGGUAGAAGAUACUAAGGCGAUCGAGAGAACUGUGGUUAAGGAACUCGGCAAAAUGCCCCCGUAACUUCGGGAGAAGGGGGGCCGCUACGGGUGCCACUGCCUUGCGUGGUGGUUGCGUGUGGUGGCCGCAGAGAAUAGAGGGAAGCGACUGUUUACUAAAAACACAGGUCCGUGCGAAGACGAUAAGUCGAUGUAUACGGACUGACGCCUGCCCGGUGCUGGAAGGUUAAGAGGACCUGUUAGAUCUGUUUGGGUCGAAGCGGAGAAUUUAAGCCCCAGUAAACGGCGGUGGUAACUAUAACCAUCCUAAGGUAGCGAAAUUCCUUGUCGGGUAAGUUCCGACCUGCACGAAUGGCGUAACGACUUCCCUGCUGUCUCAACCACAGACUCGGCGAAAUUGCAGUACGAGUAAAGAUGCUCGUUACGCGCGGCAGGACGAAAAGACCCCGGGACCUUUACUAUAGCUUGGUAUUGGUGCUUGCUACGGUUUGUGUAGGAUAGGUGGGAGAUGUUGAUCGCAUGACGCUAGUUGUGUGGGAGUCGUAAUGUGAAAUACCACUCUGAUCGUAGUGGGUAUCUAACUUCGGCCCGUGAUCCGGGUCAGGGACAGUGCCUGGUGGGUAGUUUAACUGGGGCGGUUGCCUCCUAAAGAGUAACGGAGGCGCCCAAAGGUUUCCUCAGCCUGGUCUGUAAUCAGGUGGUGAGUGUAAGUGCACAAGGGAGCUUGACUGUGAGACUGACAGGUCGAGCAGGUACGAAAGUAGGGACUAGUGAUCCGGCACCGGCUUGUGGAAGCGGUGUCGCUCAACGGAUAAAAGGUACCCCGGGGAUAACAGGCUGAUCUUCCCCAAGAGUCCAUAUCGACGGGAUGGUUUGGCACCUCGAUGUCGGCUCGUCGCAUCCUGGGGCUGGAGUAGGUCCCAAGGGUUGGGCUGUUCGCCCAUUAAAGCGGCACGCGAGCUGGGUUUAGAACGUCGUGAGACAGUUCGGUCUCUAUCCGCCGCGCGCGUUGAAACGUGAGGAAGGCUGUCCCUAGUACGAGAGGACCGGGACGGACGUACCUCUGGUGUGCCAGUUGUUUCGCCAGGAGCAUUGCUGGUUGGCUACGUACGGGAGGGAUAACCGCUGAAAGCAUCUAAGCGGGAAGCCUGUUUCGAGAUAACGUUUCGUUUGAGGUGUCCGGGAGAUGACCGGGUUGAUAGGCCAGGGUUGUAAGCGCUGUGAGGUGUUGAGAUGACUGGUACUAAUUCACCGAUACCAAACACAA